Molecule: long non-coding RNA, 2728 nt
Organism: Pezoporus occidentalis (night parrot)
Lineage: Eukaryota; Metazoa; Chordata; Aves; Psittaciformes; Psittacidae
Exons: 3
Source: RefSeq, a predicted model, not a curated record
UCCUACGGGACCAUUAAACUCUCCGUCAGCUUCCCUCAUUCUGUACUGGACAUAAGACUUGCCAAAGACAGUGUAAACUACAGCAGCAUUGUAACAGCUUGACACGCUUGCCUUAAAAUGCCUAAAGAUAUAUGUUGUGGUUUAUAGCAAAACCAAAGAACAAGUUUCUACCCAGCCUGCAUGCAGUGAGCAAAGGACAAGACAACCCCCUUUUCCAGUACUGAUUUUGGUGGGGCAGAAUUUUGUGACAGCUUUCUAGAGAAAGGACUUGACUGAUAGAGGAUCACAGAAGCAUUUGCAAAGGGAUAGGAGGGGAGGGUGUGAGUAUACAAAUCCCACCUGAAGCCAGUGCAGUAAGAUGCCUUUGAAAACCUCUCUCCUGAAUCUCAACACUGUUACUUCUAAUCUGUUGCAGAUGCCAAAAUAACAGGUUACACAGACACUCUUCUGGAAAUCAGACCCACGUUACUGGAUCAGUCUUUGUUCUACUCUUUGUUAUCCCAAAGGUGCAUUAAGACUAUGCUGACAUUUGCCAGGAGUUCAAAGCUCACAUCAAAUUUUUAUGUAUCUUGACAUAUGUUGUCUAGAAAUAGACACAGAUAAUACUGAUAAGUUAGCUUCUCUGUGAGCUUCAUUCAGAGAUAACUUCUGGAUACUCCCUGUUAAUGAUUCUUUAUUUCCUGAUACACCCAUUAAAUGAUAAGUUGUUUGUUACCUCGGGUAUUAGGUUGGUAAUUAUUGCAGCCUAUACUAAUGAACUUCAUGAUACUCUUACUGAAUUUUGUUGAAUUAUUAAGAAGGAGCAUCGGCAAUACAGUGAUUCAUGCUAACUUUAUUCAUAUUCCUACCAUUUAUUUUGUCUACAAUAAGCCCUGUGGAUAACCCUUUAAUUCUGGCAUCAACAUAUAUGCAGUAAAUACUGCCAUCCUAACUUUUCAUCUCUUUAUCCACCUAGAGCCCUGGUCUUUUUGUUUUGUCUUUUGAAGAUAAUCUACCCAUUGUUUUGAACUCUUUUACCUUCCAGUAGAUUUCAACAUUACUUGCAAUCCAGUCUUAAUAGUUUAUGUGGGUACAUCUGGAGUAAGAACAGUGAUUGUAACAGAUUUACUUAAUAUCUCAGUUGUAAUUCUUAGUACAAUGGGUCUUUACUUGGAUCAUAAUAGCAAUGGACAAUGAUGUGACAAUUAUUAACAGAUUUCCAUUGUUUGAAAAUGUGUGGUUGUAUUUUUCCAAAGGAAAAUGAAAAGGAGAAACAUACUGUUUAUUGCCUAUAAAACUAGCAACCAUUAUAAAGUCUGUAACCCCCUUCUCUUUUGACUUCAUUUAACCAGGUUGUGUACAUCUGAAAAACUCCAUUCACACAUGGUCAGUGGAAACCUUGAUAAAAUAUGACAACGAAAACUUCCACAUACGCAGCUUCAUCUUGGUAUUGCAAGCCUGCUUAAGGUAAGUUGCUUUUUGAAAUGUCUGGCUCUUGGGGACCAUUUUGUGAUAGAAAGUACUGAAGAUAUGCCAGUCUUUUUGUCUUCCUGCUGUUGAUACACAGCCCCUGCAGUGAAAUGACCAAAAACACUGAAGAAGGAGCAGACUGUAAGAAAGACAGGAGGCCUAAGGAGAGAAGAAAUUGGAGUGUAGGAAAGGAAGGCUGGAACUGGGGAGCAGGUGCUAGGUGAGGCCAACGUGGUACGAUUGGGUUUUGCAUAUAGGAAUCACAGAAUUGAUAAAGACCUUGGAACAGCUGAGAGGGGAGACGGAGUGUGACCUUCAGCUUCAACAGAGACGUGAGAGCUAGGCAGUUCGGAAGAGCCGUGAGGCUGCAACUUUGGAAAACUUGAAAAAAGUAAUAGACUAUGAAGAGACGAAGCACUGAUGUAGGGAGGAGUUUUCCUCAGGAAGACAGGUACAGGCAACUCAGAGAAGAGGGAAAGUAAAAGAAGAGUAAGAAGGGAGGCACCUAGAUCUGGCAUAGGGAGACACUGCAAAUGGUAUAGGUAGCUGAGAAGCAAGACUGAGAAUAGCUAGGGACUGAGCUGAAGAAUUCUGUGAGAAGAAGGAGCUGAGCCAACAAAAGAUUGCAGGAAGAGUCAAAUUUAGAAGUGAGGAGAGGGAGAAAGGGCUUAGCAGAGCAAUAGGCUGAAAAAGACACGGCAAAAGAAGCAGUACCCACAAUGGUUUCUCCAGGAUGACUCCAGCUGAGAAACCCAAUGGCCAAAUGUAUUUAGCAUCCUCUCUACAGAUGUCAGCUUAAUUCUCCUGCUAGUUACUGUUUGUUCUCUUGUCAGAGAGCUGUGGUACAGAUCUGGAUGUGGUAUAUGAUAUAAUCCCACAUUAUAAUUAUGUGGAUGUUUGAAUUAAACCUAGAGAAUUAGACAUCCACACAUAUAAGCAGCUAUGCAACACUGACAUGAUAAACCUAAAAGACUUUGAAAGUUUAAAAAUUCCAGAAGAUGAGGACUGCGUUUUCAGGUAGUUGCAUGCUUAUGUACCAUUUUUUUCCUAUGGGAAUUUUGCCUUACUCACUCCACAAGAUGAAAGGACUUAUUGAAUCAACAUGUAUGCAAUGCUGUGUUCUACCCACAGUUGCUCAGUUUGCUGCCCCCAGAUUUAUGUAGCGAUAUGAACUCUAUUAUUCAAGCUCCAGAUAUAUUAAUUUCCAUAUUAACAUUGCUGUGCCAUUCUUCAGUACACUCUCUGAGGGCUCCAAAACAUGAAUUAACUUAUUUUUGCA